RNAcentral lists this long non-coding RNA (351 nucleotides) under Bos taurus (domestic cattle). RNAcentral describes it as "long non-coding RNA NONBTAT026890". The record is from RNAcentral. Lineage: Eukaryota; Metazoa; Chordata; Mammalia; Artiodactyla; Bovidae.
AUUUGGGUUCCUUCUCAUUUCAUUCUCCUAUAGAUCCUUGAUGCUAAACCCCUUCUGUCCAUUCCUCACAAAAAAAGCCCCAGUUUAACUUUUGGAGAAAGCCAUAUGGAACAGGAGUGAUCCACAUUUAUCCUAGAGGUUGCAAACUGACUAAAAGAGUCACCUUGGAGGAAGCCUGUUUCCGAAUGCUUGUGGUGUUUAUCAUUCUUCUGAAUGGCUGUGGCAUUUAUCUGCAGUUUUUACUUACCAGAUGAGACCUCAAACUUUUCAAAUUCUUCGGUGGCUUACACCUUCAUGGGAAAGCUUUUUGCUGAUUUCCUGUUGGUACUUUUCUCUUACACAUUCUAUGGG